AGUGCUGGAUGAUGGGUGGUGGAGGUGAGGCCAGACCUACUGACCAAAGGACAUGCUCCACCAUCAGGGCAAGGACCUCUUAUUACUCUGGACAUCAGAAUGUACAUGCCAUGGACAGGUCCACAUCUCCUCUAGUCUCAGCUCAGAUGAGGCUGAGUACAUGAAUCAGGACGAAACCCAUUCCGGCAUCGCACUCCCAAUAGGAGCAAUAGAUCCAGGAAGGGCACGAGGCUCCUUGAAACUCAAGGAGGAGGGCUUGAUGGGGUUUGCAGGAAAGACUUUAGCUGUUACUGCUGCUGCUGGUUCUGGAGCUACCGUCUCUGUCCUGCCUCUGCAGGAGGACUGAGAUUGAAGCCAAUGAAAGGAGGCCAAGUCUGAGAAUGUUUUCAAGGUUCUUCCAUGUUGUAGUGUGUAUCAAUACUCAAUUCCUUUCUAUGGUUGGAUAAUACUGCACUGCAUGGAUAGAUCACAUUUUCUUCAUCUAUUCAUUAGUUAAUGGACAUGUGAUAUGUUUCCGCCUUUUGACCAUCAUGAGUGACAUUGGUAAGAACAUUUGUGUACAAGUUUUUUGUAGACAUAGGUUUUUAUUUCUCUUCAGUAUAUAUCUAGGAGUAGAAUUUGUGGAUCAAAUGUUUAAUAUUUUGAGGAACUGCCAGACCGUUUUCCACAGAGGCUACAGCAUUUUACAUUUCCAUCAGUAGUCCACAAGGGUUAUAAUUUCUCUACAUCCUUGCCGACACCUAUUACUUUUUCUCUUUUUUUUUUUUCAAUUAUAGUGACCCUAGUGGGUGUGAAGUGGUAUCUCACUGUGGUUUUGAUUUGCCUUUCCCUGGUAACUAAUGAUGUUUAUAUGUUUUUGUGGGCUUUUUGACCAUUUGUAUACUUUCUUCAGAAAAAUGCCCAUUUAGAUAUUUUGUCCUGUUUUUGUUUUUGUUUCUGUUUUUUUGUUUUUGAGACGGAGUCUCGCUCUGUCACCCAGGCUGGAGUGCAGUGGCCUGAUCUCAGUUCACUGCACCCUCUGCCUCCCGGGCUCAAGCGAUUCUCCUGCCUCAGCCUCUCGAAUAGCUGGGAUUACAGGCGCGUGGUACCAUGCCCGGCUAACUUUUGUAUUUUUAGUAGAGAUGGGGUUUCUUUUCACCUCUUUGGCCAUGCUGGUUUUGAACUCCGGACCCCAGGUGAUGUACCCGUCUUGGCCUCCCAAAGUGCUGGGAUUACAGGCUUGAGCCACCACGCCUGGCCCUUUUGUUCAUUUUUAACUGGGUUAUUUGUCUUCUUUUUCUUCUUCUUCUUCUUCUUCUUCUUCUUCUUCUUCUUAUUAUUAUUAUUAUUAUUAUUAUUAUUAUUAUUAUUGAAAGGGAGUUUUGCUCUUGUUGCCCAGCUGGAGUGCAAUGGCGUGAUCUCGGCUCACUGCAACCUCCACCUCCCAGGUUGAAGAAAUUCUUUUGCCUCAGCCUUCCGAGUAGCUGGGAUUACAGGCGCCCGCUACCACGCCUGGCAAAUUUUUAGUAUUUUCAGUAGAGAUGGGGUUUUGCCAUGUUGGCCAGGCUGGUCUCGAACUGUUGAUCUCAGGUGAUCCACCCGCCUCGGUUUCCCAAAGUGUUGGGGUUACAGGCGUGAGCCACCACGCCUGGCCGUCUUUUUAUUAUUGACUUGUAAGAGUUAUUUAUAUAUUCUAAAUACAGUUCUCUGACAGACAUAUGACUUACAAAUAUUUUCCCCACUAUUUUCACUUUCUUGACAGUGCCUUUGAAAUACAAAAGUUUUAAAUUUUGAUG
Pan troglodytes (chimpanzee) is the source of this 1775-nucleotide long non-coding RNA. RefSeq lists it as uncharacterized. Lineage: Eukaryota; Metazoa; Chordata; Mammalia; Primates; Hominidae. The record is from RefSeq and is a predicted model, not a curated record. The transcript has 3 exons.